AUGCACAAAACUGAGUCUUGGUGUGUGGAUUGGUCUAAAUUACAUUUUGAAUUUAUUUUCUCUCCCAAUACCUGUAAAUCUGGUGUUUGUAAAAUAAUAUCUGUGCCUUUUUUGGUGCUGGCCAUUCAUUCCAGAAAGUUUGUAUUGCUUUCCAUAUGGAUUUUCAAGUUGCUACUGAUUGCUUUGGGUGCAAUGCUCUAACAUAUGAAGGUGAACUUUUGUGAUUGGUGACCUGGUAUUGUGUUUUUAACUAACUUCAAUUCUCACAGUAUUAAUCAUAAUUCCAAGAAGACUAUUUUAUGAUAAUAUUUAUGGACUUUGAAAAUCUGACAUAAAGUCCCCUGUUUCAGCAGCAAGUAAACAUUAAUUUUUAAAGGUUAGUGUUUUUAGAAACUUCUGCUAAACAACAAUCUGAUUAUUGUUGUUGGAAUAUAACCCAGGUAUUAUUACAGCAGCUGCCCACUGUCAGUUUUGUGAUAUAUAAACAUAUCUUUAUGUAAUAAUUUUAUCUAUAACUUUAAGAUUUUUUUCUUAUAUUUUUCUUAUUUUUCCAAACAGUGCUGGCAUAUUUUUGGAUAUAUUACACAAAAUGUAUGACAAAAUUCUAAAUAUUUAAAAGACCUUGGCUUCCUGACCAG
RNAcentral lists this long non-coding RNA (638 nucleotides) under Homo sapiens (human). RNAcentral describes it as "HSALNT0123596". Lineage: Eukaryota; Metazoa; Chordata; Mammalia; Primates; Hominidae. The record is from RNAcentral.